AUGGCACCCCAUCUUAUUAUGUAUACAAGGAGAACAACAAAAAACAUGAGGAAGACUACUAACACAGAUACAAAUGACUCUCAGGAAGCAGAAAAGCCAGCACCAGCCAAACGGACAGGAAAGAAAAGGUCGAUGAACUCAGACUUACAAAUUGCGCAGGAAGCAGAAGCUCUCCUUAAGGGACUGUCAACUCCAGACACUGAAAAUGAAGGCCGUCGGACAACAAGAUCUCGAACUCGAGGUUCAACCACACCUGUUGCCACCCCUCCGCCACCUAAAAGAGAACGCAAGUCUGCAUCUGGAACCAGAGGAGGUAGAAGAGGGCGGCCGAAGAAGGAAGAAGUAGAAGUAGAAGAGCCAGAAGAAAAUGAUACUGCAGAAGAGAAGAAAGAAGAAAAUAAUGUUGACGGAAAGGAAAACAAUGUUGAUGCCAAGAAGAAAGAUGAAGAACCCGAAGAGAAGGAAGAAAUAGAUGGUGCCGAAGAAAGCACGAAAGAACCAGAAGCAAACUCGGAAAGUGAGAAAGAAGUCUCGACAACUGUUGCGGAAGCAGGAGAAAAAGACAAGAGCAAAGAGGAGAAAGCAGAACCAAUGGAAGUAGACGCACCUGAUGCACCUUCAAAACCAACUCCUACACCAACCCCUGAAUCAAAUAGUUCUUGUGUCAAGAGUGAAGAAAAAAGUAAAGAGCCGGAAAAGAAAGAAGAGAAGCCAGUUGAACCCCCAGUAGAAGAAACUAAAAAAGAAAAUACAGAAAAUACAUCACCAGUUGUUGAAAGCGGAGACCAAAAACCUGCCGUAGAAGAAGAAAAGUCAGUUAAAUCAGCUGUUUCAGAGGAAAGUGCACCUCCGAAAACAGAAGCAGACCCUGUGUCAGAGCCUGUUAGCUGUCCGUUAAUCCCUCCCACGGCGAACUAAACUUCCUCAUUCUCUGUUGACUGCAUUUUGUACAUUAUUUCCUGAUUCCAAAAAGUUCAUCUGUAGUACUAAUGACGCAAGUUUUUUGUUCGUUUUCCUUUAUUUCAUGUCGAAAUUGUAAAGAAGAGCACGUUGAACCUUACCAAAAUUGAACUGGAAACUACGUAUUAUAUUUUGAAUCAGCUUGUAACUAAUCUUUAUUAAGAGGCUUCGGUCCUCUGUAUGUAAUAUUUUUAAACCCAUAAUUUUACACUAUGAUGUUAAUGUCUAGUAAAUUAAUGUUGCAUCUUGUCCUACGAGGCUAAUUCUUUACUUUUUUUCUGUGGGUAGCGUUCGACCAAAAUCCUUGUACAUUAAUUUCUUUUUGUCAAGCGCCCCUCAUGGAUCUCUUAAUGCUGAUCAAGAAGACAAACCUCUUGAUCCUAGCUGCUUUCUCUUGAUGAGAAAUAUUUGAAAGUUUGUGAACAACAUCAUACACGAGAGUAAAGAAUCAGAUCUCCUUGAUAUAUUUCUCAUUU
RNAcentral lists this long non-coding RNA (1436 nucleotides) under Bemisia tabaci. RNAcentral describes it as "lncRNA ENSSSA1UGG008105". Lineage: Eukaryota; Metazoa; Arthropoda; Insecta; Hemiptera; Aleyrodidae. The record is from RNAcentral.